RNAcentral lists this ribosomal RNA (439 nucleotides) under uncultured bacterium. Its description in RNAcentral is "partial 16S ribosomal RNA". It matches the Rfam family "Bacterial small subunit ribosomal RNA", at positions 339 to 795 of the family's 1533-position model. The record is from RNAcentral.
CUACGGGGGGCACCAGUGAGGAAUAUUGCACAAUGGGGGGAACCCUGAUGCAGCAACGCCGCGUGGAGGAUGACGCAUUUCGGUGUGUAAACUCCUUUUAUAUGUCAAGAAAAUGACAGUAGCAUAUGAAUAAGCACCGGCUAACUCCGUGCCAGCAGCCGCGGUAAUACGGAGGGUGCAAGCGGUACUCGGAAUCACUGGGCGUAAAGGACGCGUAGGCGGGUUGGAAAGUCAGGUGUGAAAUCCUACAGCUUAACUGUAGAACUGCACUUGAAACUUCUAAUCUAGAGUAUGGGAGGGGGAGAUGGAAUUAGUGGUGUAGGGGUAAAAUCCGUAGAUAUCACUAGGAAUACCUAAAGCGAAGGCGAUCUCCUGGAACAUUACUGACGCUAAGGCGUGAAAGCGUGGGGAGCAAACAGGAUUAGAUACCCUUGUAGUC